RNAcentral lists this ribosomal RNA (497 nucleotides) under uncultured bacterium. RNAcentral's name for it is "partial 16S ribosomal RNA". It matches the Rfam family "Bacterial small subunit ribosomal RNA", at positions 28 to 507 of the family's 1533-position model. The record is from RNAcentral.
GACGAACGCUGGCGGCGUGCCUAAUACAUGCAAGUUGAGCGCUGAAGGUUGGUACUUGUACCAACUGGAUGAGCAGCGAACGGGUGAGUAACGCGUGGGGAAUCUGCCUUUCAGCGGGGGACAACAUUGGGAAACGAAUGCUAAUACCGCAUAAAAACUUUAAACACAAGGUUUAAGUUUGAAAGAUGCAAGUGCAUCACUCAAAGAUGAUCCCGCGUUGUAUUAGCUAGUCGGUGAGGUAACGGCUCACCAAGGCGAUGUUACAGAGCCGACCUGAGAGGGUGAGCGGCCAGAUUGAGACGGUGACACGGCACAAAGGGCUAGGGGAGGCAGCAGGAGGGAAUCGUGGGGAAGCGGCGAAAGUCUUAGCGCGAUGGGCCGCGGGAGGGUAGAACGUUUUCGGAUCGUAAAUCUCUGUUGGUGGAGUAGAACGUUGGUGAGAGUGGAAAGCUCAUUAAGUGACGGUAACUGCUCAGAAAGGGACGGCUAACUACGUG